AGCGAACGCUGGCGGCAGGCUUAAUACAUGCAAGUCGAGCGCCUGUAGCAAUACAGGAGCGGCAGACGGGAGAGUAACACGUGGGAACGUGCCCUUUGGUUCGGAACAACACAGGGAAACUUGUGCUAAUACCGGAUAAGCCCUUACGGGGAAAGAUUUAUUGCCAAAGGAUCGGCCCGCGUCUGAUUAGCUAGUUGGUGGGGUAAUGGCCCACCAAGGCGACGAUCAGUAGCNGGUCUGAGAGGAUGAUCAGCCUCAUUGGGACUGAGACACGGCCCAAACUCCUACGGGAGGCAGCAGUAGGGAAUAUUGGACAAUGGGCGCAAGCCUGAUCCAGCCAUGCCGCGUGAGUGAUGAAGGCCUUAGGGUUGUAAAGCUC
Molecule: ribosomal RNA, 379 nt
Filed under: uncultured bacterium
Lineage: Bacteria
Description: bacterial SSU rRNA
Rfam family: Bacterial small subunit ribosomal RNA
Source: RNAcentral